RNAcentral lists this non-coding RNA (202 nucleotides) under Clostridiales bacterium. RNAcentral describes it as "6S RNA". It matches the Rfam family "6S / SsrS RNA". Rfam says of the family: E. coli 6S RNA was the first non coding RNA to be sequenced, but its function was unknown until recently. It consists of 184 nucleotides that fold into an extended hairpin structure with a large single-stranded internal bulge. The record is from RNAcentral. Lineage: Bacteria; Bacillati; Bacillota; Clostridia; Eubacteriales.
AAAUGCCUGCGGUGUUCGAGAAAAGAUGUAUUGAUCCACAAUAAUUAAAAGGGAGUUCGGAGUUUGAUUGCGAUAAGCGUAUUUCUUGGUUUUUGUCUAAGCGCAAACCGUUUUUAUGGAAAAGUCCGAUUCGCACAACAGAGCACCCACCUGCUUGAGUAGCGGGGUUAAUUAUUCUUAAUACGGCACAUGCGGGUAUUUU